Molecule: ribosomal RNA, 253 nt
Filed under: uncultured bacterium
Lineage: Bacteria
Description: partial 16S ribosomal RNA
Rfam family: Bacterial small subunit ribosomal RNA
Source: RNAcentral
UACGAAGGUUCCAAGCGUUGUUCGGAAUCACUGGGCGUAAAGGGAGCGUAGGCGGCGUGGUAAGUCAGAUGUGAAAUCCCGGGGCUCAACCCCGGAACUGCAUCCGAUACUGCCAUGCUAGAGGAUUGGAGAGGUAGCUGGAAUUCUUGGUGUAGCAGUGAAAUGCGUGGAUAUCAAGAGGAACACUCGUGGCGAAAGCGAGCUACUGGACAAUUCCUGACGCUGAGGCUCGAAGGCUAGGGUAGCGAAAGGG